This 317-nucleotide ribosomal RNA is filed under the name Cutibacterium acnes. RNAcentral describes it as "bacterial SSU rRNA". It matches the Rfam family "Bacterial small subunit ribosomal RNA", at positions 125 to 442 of the family's 1533-position model. Lineage: Bacteria; Bacillati; Actinomycetota; Actinomycetes; Propionibacteriales; Propionibacteriaceae. The record is from RNAcentral.
CCUGCCCUUGACUUUGGGAAUACUUCAGGAAACUGGGGCUAAUACCGGAUAGGAGCUCCUGCUGCAUGGUGGGGGUUGGAAAGUUUCGGCGGUUGGGGAUGGACUCGCGGCUUAUCAGCUUGUUGGUGGGGUAGUGGCUUACCAAGGCUUUGACGGGUAGCCGGCCUGAGAGGGUGACCGGCCACAUUGGGACUGAGAUACGGCCCAGGACUCCUACGGGAGGCAGCAGUGGGGAAUAUUGCACAAUGGGCGGAAGCCUGAUGCAGCAACGCCGCGUGCGGGAUGACGGCCUUCGGGUUGUAAACCGCUUUCGCCUG